Molecule: ribosomal RNA, 422 nt
Filed under: uncultured bacterium
Lineage: Bacteria
Description: bacterial SSU rRNA
Rfam family: Bacterial small subunit ribosomal RNA
Source: RNAcentral
UAGGGAAUAUUGGACAAUGGGCGCAAGCCUGAUCCAGCCAUCCCGCGUGAAGGAUUAAGGUCCUAUGGAUUGUAAACUUCUUUUCUCUGGGAAUAAAAACCGGUAUUUAUACUGGCUUGAAGGUACCAGAGGAAUAAGCACCGGCUAACUCCGUGCCAGCAGCCGCGGUAAUACGGAGGGUGCAAGCGUUAUCCGGAUUCACUGGGUUUAAAGGGUGCGUAGGUGGCUUUGUAAGUCAGUGGUGAAAGCCCGGAGCUUAACUCCGGAACUGCCAUUGAUACUGCUUAGCUUGAAUCAACUUGAGGUAGAUGGAAUAUUACAUGUAGCGGUGAAAUGCUUAGAUAUGUAAUAGAACACCGAUUGCGAAGGCAGUUCACUAAGGUUGUAUUGACACUGAGGCACGAAAGCGUGGGGAUCAAACA